GGAUUAGAUACCCUGGUAGUCCACGCCGUAAACGAUGUGUGCUAGUUGUUGGAGUCUUGAGGCUUCAGUGGCGCAGCGAAAGCAUUAAGCACACCGCCUGGGGAGUACGGCCGCAAGGUUAAAACUCAAAGGAAUUGACGGGGACCCGCACAAGCGGUGGAGCAUGUUGUUUAAUUCGAAGCAACGCGAAGAACCUUACCCACACUUGACAUCCUUCUUGGGACUUUCAGAGAUGAUUGUCUUCGGUUCGGCCGGGGAAGUGACAGGUGCUGCAUGGCUGUCGUCAGCUCGUGCUG
RNAcentral lists this ribosomal RNA (296 nucleotides) under uncultured bacterium. RNAcentral's name for it is "partial 16S ribosomal RNA". It matches the Rfam family "Bacterial small subunit ribosomal RNA", at positions 775 to 1067 of the family's 1533-position model. The record is from RNAcentral.